RNAcentral lists this ribosomal RNA (176 nucleotides) under Elytraria mexicana. RNAcentral describes it as "5.8S ribosomal RNA". The stretch from base 1 to 79 matches the Rfam family "5.8S ribosomal RNA", at positions 78 to 154 of the family's 154-position model. The record is from RNAcentral. Lineage: Eukaryota; Viridiplantae; Streptophyta; Magnoliopsida; Lamiales; Acanthaceae.
AAUCCCGUGAACCAUCGAGUCUUUGAACGCAAGUUGCGCCCGAAGCCAUUAGGCCGAGGGCACGUCUGCCUGGGCGUCACGCAUCGCGUCGCCCCCAAACCCCGCCCGCUCGCACGAGCGGUCGGGGUAGGGGCGGACAAUGGCCUCCCGUGAGCCUCGCGGCGCGCGGCCGGCCC